This is a long non-coding RNA of Rhododendron vialii, 548 nucleotides long. RefSeq lists it as uncharacterized. The record is from RefSeq and is a predicted model, not a curated record. The transcript has 3 exons. Lineage: Eukaryota; Viridiplantae; Streptophyta; Magnoliopsida; Ericales; Ericaceae.
UCGUAUGUGCUUUUGAUUUAGGUUCACUUACACAGCAGUUGAACAUUGGUGAAUAGUACUGGAAAGAAGAAAACUUACCAUUUUCAGCAUUCUAAGCUCCCUUCUUGCAACCUUUGCUCUCCAGAGACAUUGAAGGGGUUUCCAUUAAAGAUUGAAGUUGUUGCUGUAUUUUGAAGUUUGAUGUAUGAGCAGGUCUUGGACCUCCAAAAUUUCAUAAAAUUCCUGCAAACUAUGAAAUCUGGCUUACCUUGAAGCGGGUACCUAUAGAUGAGAACUUGGACUGCUUAGAUGCGUCCUCAGGUAAUGGGGGGAAGAGGUUUGCAACAAAAGAGCACCUGGAGGCAUCUAAAAGAGCUUGAUGUUCGGCUACAACAUAGUCCUUGUUUUUAUCAAGGAAUUGAUCAGCUUGUGGGAUCCUGGCCGAUUGAAUUGUUUAUCUUAUCCACUAGCCUGCAUAGUUCAUUACGUAAGCAUUCAAGAUUAAUCUUUCCGACACCAAUACAGACCUCGUUUGAGCUGAAGAUGGGGUGAAAGUUUAGGUUGACUUU